GCUUAACACAUGCAAGUCGAGGGGCAGCAUGGUCUUAGCUUGCUAAGGCCGAUGGCGACCGGCGCACGGGUGAGUAACGCGUAUCCAACCUGCCUUACACUCUUGGACAGCCUUCUGAAAGGGAGAUUAAUACAAGAUGUUAUCAUGAGUAAGCAUUUUCGCAUGAUUAAAGGUUUACCGGUGUAAGAUGGGGAUGCGUUCCAUUAGAUAGUAGGCGGGGUAACGGCCCACCUAGUCUUCGAUGGAUAGGGGUUCUGAGAGGAAGGUCCCCCACAUUGGAACUGAGACACGGUCCAAACUCCUACGGGAGGCAGCAGUGAGGAAUAUUGGUCAAUGGACGAGAGUCUGAACCAGCCAAGUAGCGUGAAGGAUGAAGGUUCUAUGGAUUGUAAACUUCUUUUAUACGGGAAUAAACGGAUCCACGUGUGGAUUUUUGCAUGUACCGUAUGAAUAAGGAUCGGCUAACUCCGUGCCAGCAGCCGCGGUAAUACGGAGGAUCCGAGCGUUAUCCGGAUUUAUUGGGUUUAAAGGGAGCGUAGAUGGGUUGUUAAGUCAGUUGUGAAAGUUUGCGGCUCAACCGUAAAAUUGCAAUUGAUACUGGCAGUCUUGAGUACAGUUGAGGUAGGCGGAAUUCGUGGUGUAGCGGUGAAAUGCUUAGAUAUCACGAAGAACUCUGAUUGCGAAGGCAGCUUACUAACCUGUAACUGACAUUGAUGCUCGAAAGUGUGGGUAUCAAACAGGAUUAGAUACCCUGGUAGUCCACACGGUAAACGAUGAAUACUCGCUGUAGGCGAUAUACAGUCUGCGGCCAAGCGAAAGCAUUAAGUAUUCCACCUGGGGAGUACGCCGGCAACGGUGAAACUCAAAGGAAUUGACGGGGGCCCGCACAAGCGGAGGAACAUGUGGUUUAAUUCGAUGAUACGCGAGGAACCUUACCCGGGCUUAAAUUGCAACCGAAUAUGGCGGAAACGCUAUAGCUAGCAAUAGCGGUUGUGAAGGUGCUGCAUGGUUGUCGUCAGCUCGUGCCGUGAGGUGUCGGUUUAAGUGCCAUAACGAGCGCAACCCUUGCCGAUAGUUACUAACAGGUUAUGCUGAGGACUCUGUCGGGACUGCCAUCGUAAGAUGUGAGGAAGGUGGGGAUGACGUCAAAUCAGCACGGCCCUUACGUCCGGGGCUACACACGUGUUACAAUGGGGGGUACAGAGGGCUGCUACCACGCAAGUGGAUGCCAAUCCCAAAAACCUCUCUCAGUUCGGAUUGAAGUCUGCAACCCGACUUCAUGAAGCUGGAUUCGCUAGUAAUCGCGCAUCAGCCACGGCGCGGUGAAUACGUUCCCGGGCCUUGUACACACCGCCCGUCAAGCCAUGGGAGCCGGGGGUACCUGAAGUGCGUAACCGAAAGGAGCGCCCUAGGGUAAAACUGGUGACUGGGGCUAAG
RNAcentral lists this ribosomal RNA (1437 nucleotides) under uncultured organism. RNAcentral's name for it is "16S ribosomal RNA". It matches the Rfam family "Bacterial small subunit ribosomal RNA". The record is from RNAcentral.